AGCGGCAUCAAAGUGGAAGGAGGAGGAACGCCAGCCCUGAAGGAUGUCGAACUGGCUUAGGUCUUUGAAAACUACCCCACUGUCAAGCUCCCUCUGAGUUGCUUCCAGUCCUCAGGAGUGAAGGUAGAGUUAAGGGGGAAACCUGACGCAUUUGAGAGAGAGGGAGGAAGAGGUAAUGUGGAGACACUUCUGCCUUCUCAAAGCUUCUCUUGUGCUUCUGAAGAACCACUGCAGUGUGCUCUGUUGAGGAGGAACUGAGAACCAGAGACUUGAAGAAAGUGAGUUAUUUACACUUAACUUCUCUUUUACCGUGCUGCACUAGAUCCUAUAACUAC
RNAcentral lists this long non-coding RNA (335 nucleotides) under Chrysolophus pictus (golden pheasant). RNAcentral's name for it is "lncRNA (ENSCPIG00010010083.1)". The record is from RNAcentral. Lineage: Eukaryota; Metazoa; Chordata; Aves; Galliformes; Phasianidae.